Molecule: ribosomal RNA, 166 nt
Filed under: Hyaloscypha spiralis
Lineage: Eukaryota; Fungi; Ascomycota; Leotiomycetes; Helotiales; Hyaloscyphaceae
Description: partial large subunit ribosomal RNA
Rfam family: Eukaryotic large subunit ribosomal RNA
Source: RNAcentral
CGGCAACAGCUCAAAUUUGAAAUCUGGCUCUUUCAGGGUCCGAGUUGUAAUUUGUAGAAGAUGCUUUGGGUGUAGCUCCGGUCUAAGUUCCUUGGAACAGGACGUCAUAGAGGGUGAGAAUCCCGUACGUGACUGGGUGCUUUCGCUCGUGUAAAGCUCUUUCGAC